UACGUAGGCAGCAAGCGUUGUUCGGAGUUACUGGGCGUAAAGGGUGCGUAGGCGGUUGUUUAAGUUUGGUGUGAAAUCUCCCGGCUCAACUGGGAGGGUGCGCCGAAUACUGAAUGACUAGAGUGCGGGAGAGGAGAGUGGAAUUCCUGGUGUAGCGGUGAAAUGCGUAGAUAUCGUGAGGAACACCAGAGGCGAAGGCGGCUACCUGGACAAUCGCUGACGCUCAGGCACGAAAGCGUGGGGAGCAAAAAGGG
Molecule: ribosomal RNA, 254 nt
Filed under: uncultured bacterium
Lineage: Bacteria
Description: partial 16S ribosomal RNA
Rfam family: Bacterial small subunit ribosomal RNA
Source: RNAcentral